Molecule: transfer RNA, 76 nt
Filed under: Candidatus Levyibacteriota bacterium
Lineage: Bacteria; Candidatus Levyibacteriota
Description: tRNA-Arg
Rfam family: tRNA
About the family: Transfer RNA (tRNA) molecules are approximately 80 nucleotides in length. Their secondary structure includes four short double-helical elements and three loops (D, anti-codon, and T loops).
Source: RNAcentral
GCUCCUGUAGCUCAAUGGAUAGAGCACAUCGGUUCUAACGAUUAGGUUGGGGGUUCGAGUCCCUCCGGGAGCACCA